This 484-nucleotide ribosomal RNA is filed under the name uncultured bacterium. RNAcentral's name for it is "partial 16S ribosomal RNA". It matches the Rfam family "Bacterial small subunit ribosomal RNA", at positions 30 to 507 of the family's 1533-position model. The record is from RNAcentral.
AUUGAACGCUGGCGGCAGGCUUAACACAUGCAAGUCGAGCGGAUGAGGGGUGCUUGCUCCGGGCUUCAGCGGCGGACGGGUGAGUAAUGCCUAGGAAUCUUCCUGUUAGUGGGGGAUAACGUCCGGGAAAGGGGGCUAAUACCCCAUACGUCCUGAGGUAGAAAGUGGGGGAUCUUCGGACCUCACGCUGUCAGAUGAGCCUACGUCGGAUUAGCUAGUUGGUGGGGUAAUGGCCUACCAAGGCGGCGAUCCGUAACUGGUCUGAGAGGAUGAUCAGUCACACUGGGACUGAGACACGGUACAGACUCCUACGGGAGGCAGAAGUGGGGAAUAUUGGACGAUGGGCGAAAGCCUGAUCCAGCCAUGCCGCGUGUGUGAAGAAGGUCUUCGGAUUGUAAAGCACUUUAAGUUGGGAGGAAGGGCAGCAAGUUAAUACCUUGCUGUUUUGACGUUACCAACAGAAUAAGCACCGGCUAACUUCGUG